This is a non-coding RNA of Acanthosepion pharaonis, 100 nucleotides long. The record is from the annotation of a GenBank genome assembly. NCBI's taxonomy places the organism in Eukaryota, Metazoa, Mollusca, Cephalopoda, Sepiida, Sepiidae.
CAUUGAAACACCAGUUCCUGUAUGAUCACUGAAGUUAAGCAACAUUGAGACUGGUCAGUACCUAGAUGGGUGACCACCUGGAAAUACUACGUGCUGUAAG